This is a long non-coding RNA of Cataglyphis hispanica, 1016 nucleotides long. RefSeq lists it as uncharacterized. The record is from RefSeq and is a predicted model, not a curated record. The transcript is spliced from 5 exons. Lineage: Eukaryota; Metazoa; Arthropoda; Insecta; Hymenoptera; Formicidae.
UGACGAUGUUCUUCGUUUGGCGACUGCUCUUCCGUUGCUAUCUUCCGCCGUUUCAAAGUUUCCUCCAAGACGAUAACAUCGCUACAAUCGAGACCGAGCGACAUGUCGUCGUAGGCAGUGGAUACCAAUAGGACCACACAGUAACGGGGCGGUUGAGUCAUCAUGGACGGCGUGGGUUCACCGCAGAGCAAACUGCCCGGCGGUACUUGCGUCAGGAUGCCGUUUUCCAGAGCGGGCGGUGUCGCGCACACUGCCGACGACUUGUCUUCCUCUAACAGGCUGGAGUUUGUCAGCCAGUUGGCGAAUUCCAGUAGAGUACAGUCGCAAUUCAACGGAUUGUCAGCAAGUGAGAGUCGCUUGAGACGCAGCUUCGAUGUCGAUCCAAUCGAUCUAAACCGAUCAGAUGCGAUAGCGCGGUCGUGGGAACCGAAUCUAGAAGAUUGUUGGGCAAUCCAAGCGCCUGUAACGGCCGUGCCAAUGCUGUGAACGCGUUCUCGUGGACGCGUCUCAAUUCGCCGGUAGAGACGACCAGUCCGUGAAGCGCGAUGUCCUCGAAGAAGCGUGCCGGCAAUAUGGAGAUCCCUGUCACGGUCACAUCCAGCAGCGAUAUCGUGUCCGAUUCGCAAAAAGAGAGUUGCUGCGAGUGCAAACGAUAUUUGUUGCAAUAUCGUCAAAUAUAAUUGAUAACGGGAUAUUCGCACGACGGAAAACAACAGAUGUAUGCAAAGCAAGAGAGAUAGAUCAAUUGAGACGAGACACGAGAAUGAGAGGAAAAGAGAAGUGAGCACAAUGGACUCUCUUGAAUAAUAUAUGUAUACGACUUGUAUUUCAUUGGCAGUCUAUACCACCCACGUUCUUCUUGACCGUUCUUCUUCGCCGUUCUAUCGCCAGUACAUCUGAGCGUAUGUGGAAAGUCGCAGGAACAUUCCACGCCCGCUUUUGUAAUAUUUGGACACUCCCAAACCACAUCGAAGGGGAAAGAUGAGGAUGACGGCGAUGCAUUUUCCUCGGUAGCG